AAAUAUAAUAUAUUUUAAUUAUAUGUAGUCUGAGUGAGUAAUCUGAGUUUAGUUAAAUUUGGGCCAACAUUGCCGGCCCAUAAAAACAAACUAACCAAGACAACAAAAGGGUAAAAUCCUACUAAAUUUACACUCUCUUUCUUUCUUUCUUUCACAUAGCCAUAAAUUUUUAAUCUCUCUCUCUCUCUCUCUCUCUCUCUCUCCUUUUUUCUCUCACCCCAAGCAGCCAAGCCUGAAGCCCCCAAAUUAUCAAGUAACAACACGCGCUCGCCGUUGCCUACCUUGCCAUUAGCUAUGUGUUUGAAAAAAUAUACAAAAUAUUUUUAAGGUAAACAAAUUAUUAUUUAUACAAAAUUAUGAUUUUAGUUAUAUAUGAUUGGAUAGUUUAAUCCAAUAUUUGCUUAUAUAAUUUAUUCAUUUUUUGACCACAUAGAUAAGAAAGAAUAAUAUAGAAACUGAAGGCGGAAUAGAAGACAUGCGAGAUUGAAAAGGUUAGAUAUUCAACUCAUCAGUUAUUUUUGUUCAUAUUAUAAUACCGUAUUUCAUAUAAUUAUUUUAUAUUUUGAAUUAUUAGACAUAUUUUUAUAUCAAAUUAUAGAUAAUGUUAUAUACAAAUUAAACUAUUGAUCGUACAAUGUUGAGAAUUUCAAACAGUUGGUUUAGGGCUCUUGCUCGCUCGACUCGAAAUUAGACUCGUUUGAGCUCGGCUUAAAUUAAUUUCCAGCUAAACUUGAGCCUAAAUUUAUGCUAAAAAUUAAUUUCAAAUCGAAUUUAAGCUAAGAUCGGUCGAACACGGCUUGUUUAAUUCCACCCCUAACCUCAACUUCCAAACUCUUUUGAACGUUUGAUGACCACUUCAACUACAGGCAAUUAGGCAAAAACACUCUAGUGCAUUAGAUUUUUUUAAAUAUACAAAUAAGUGUAGAGAAAAAUAUUAUAAAAUACUAUUUUUAUAAAAUUUAGAGUAGUAAGAGAUAAUUUAGAAAUGAUUUGUGGUGAAAUUAGAAUGAAAACAAGACUUUUGAAAUUUUUAUAUGAAACAGAAAUAAUAUUUCAGCUGAAAAAUCCACAAUGGUGAAAAAUUGUAAAACUUUGAAAGUUGAUUGUACCAUUUUUUUGAGGCCAGAUUUAAAGUUUCAUGUUAUUUAGAUAUCUGAGCAAUGAAAACGGAGUCGCGCAAAGAGCAAUCUAUUGAAGAUUUUAGCCGGCAGAGCUUUCGGUGGUAUAAAAUGAUCCAAAAUUGAAAAUUUAAGACAAAUUACUUCUGAUUAAUUUUAUUUGAGUCUGCCUGUCAAAUUUGAGUGCAAAUCGACAUUCAAAAAGGCUUCAGUUGGAUGUACCAAAUUAAAAUUGUACUGAAGAUAGAAGU
This 1369-nucleotide long non-coding RNA is filed under the name Ananas comosus (pineapple). RNAcentral describes it as "long non-coding RNA (ACOM_LNC016807)". The record is from RNAcentral. Lineage: Eukaryota; Viridiplantae; Streptophyta; Magnoliopsida; Poales; Bromeliaceae.